AUGAACGCUAGCGGCAGGCCUAAUACAUGCAAGUCGAGGGGUAGUGGAGCUUGCUCCACGAGACCGGCGCACGGGUGCGUAACGCGUAUGCAACCUACCUUCACCUGGGGGAUAGCCCGGAGAAAUCCGGAUUAACACCGCAUAAAACCACAGUACCGCAUGGUACAAUGGUCAAACAUUCAUGGGGCGGAGAUGGGCAUGCGUGCCAUUAGUUAGUUGGCGGGGUAACGGCCCACCAAGACCGCGAUGGCUAGGGGAUCUGAGAGGA
This 268-nucleotide ribosomal RNA is filed under the name uncultured bacterium. RNAcentral's name for it is "partial 16S ribosomal RNA". It matches the Rfam family "Bacterial small subunit ribosomal RNA", at positions 29 to 300 of the family's 1533-position model. The record is from RNAcentral.